Non-coding RNA from Solanum tuberosum (potato), 140 nucleotides. The record is from Rfam. Lineage: Eukaryota; Viridiplantae; Streptophyta; Magnoliopsida; Solanales; Solanaceae.
AGGCAGCCCCCUUUUCUUCCUAUAAAAGGAUAUGGAAAGGGAGGUGUUAAUCUGCUCGUAAAUUAAAAUUGCUUUUGCUCUUCAGAUUUGCUGAGAUUUUAACUAAUCUCUGAAGCUGGUCUAGUAAGCUUUAGUACAUU